RNAcentral lists this ribosomal RNA (460 nucleotides) under uncultured bacterium. Its description in RNAcentral is "partial 16S ribosomal RNA". It matches the Rfam family "Bacterial small subunit ribosomal RNA", at positions 338 to 795 of the family's 1533-position model. The record is from RNAcentral.
CCUACGGGAGGCAGCAGUGAGGAAUAUUGGUCAAUGGACGAGAGUCUGAACCAGCCAAGUAGCGUGAAGGAUGACUGCCCUAUGGGUUGUAAACUUCUUUUAUAUGGGAAUAAAAUGUUCCACGUGUGGGAUUUUGUAUGUACCAUAUGAAUAAGGAUCGGCUAACUCCGUGCCAGCAGCCGCGGUAAUACGGAGGAUCCGAGCGUUAUCCGGAUUUAUUGGGUUUAAAGGGAGCGUAGGUGGAUGGUUAAGUCAGUUGUGAAAGUUUGCGGCUCAACCGUAAAAUUGCAGUUGAAACUGGCAGUCUUGAGUACAGUAGAGGUGGGCGGAAUUCGUGGUGUAGCGGUGAAAUGCUUAGAUAUCACGCAGAACUCCGAUUGCGAAGGCAGCUUACUAAGCCAUAACUGACACUGAAGCACGAAAGCGUGGGUAUCAAACAGGAUUAGAUACCCCAGUAGUC